AUAUGCGCUGAAUUUUCCGAAGGGAAAACGGGGGAACCAAACUUGGCCGCAGGGCCAUUGGGGUGAAUCGGAAGCGGCCAGAAUGACCGCAACUGUAGGGCUACCACAGCCCGAAUCCGCCAGCUAACCUCGUAAGCAAGGGUGGGA
Molecule: small RNA, 147 nt
Filed under: Paenibacillus ihuae
Lineage: Bacteria; Bacillati; Bacillota; Bacilli; Caryophanales; Paenibacillaceae
Description: ydaO/yuaA leader
Rfam family: c-di-AMP riboswitch aptamer (ydaO/yuaA leader)
About the family: This family represents a conserved RNA structure found upstream of the ydaO and yuaA genes in Bacillus subtilis and related genes in other bacteria. The ydaO/yuaA element is thought to act as a genetic "off" switch for the ydaO and yuaA genes in its native state.
Source: RNAcentral